CAGGCACCCCCCACAGCCCUGAGCGAGCUGCCAGGCUAACUUUGAUUGGAUGGUGAUGUAGAGUUCAUCGUGGAGAGGACCAAGACAGAAGAUCAAGAAGAAUUUUUUUUUUAAUCUCUUCCCUUGUCCACCGAAAGACCAUCAAAACUAGAGAGAGAUUAUCAAAUGCCUGGUGACAAGUCCUCGGCUGCACUGGCUUCACAGGAGCUUAUGUGGAGAAGAA
RNAcentral lists this long non-coding RNA (223 nucleotides) under Homo sapiens (human). Its description in RNAcentral is "HSALNT0214777". Lineage: Eukaryota; Metazoa; Chordata; Mammalia; Primates; Hominidae. The record is from RNAcentral.